GACGAACGCUGGCGGCGUGCUUAACACAUGCAAGUCGAGCGGUAAGGCCCUUUCGGGGGUACGACGAGCGGCGAACGGGUGAGUAACACGUGGGUGACCUGCCCUCAGCUCUGGGAUAAGCCUGGGAAACCGGGUCUAAUACCGGAUAUGACUCCAUGACGGCAUGUUGUGGGGUGGAAAGCCUUGUGCGGCUGAGGAUGGGCCCGCGGCCUAUCAG
RNAcentral lists this ribosomal RNA (217 nucleotides) under uncultured bacterium. Its description in RNAcentral is "partial 16S ribosomal RNA". It matches the Rfam family "Bacterial small subunit ribosomal RNA", at positions 28 to 244 of the family's 1533-position model. The record is from RNAcentral.